Meleagris gallopavo (turkey) is the source of this 861-nucleotide non-coding RNA. The record is from RefSeq and is a predicted model, not a curated record. NCBI's taxonomy places the organism in Eukaryota, Metazoa, Chordata, Aves, Galliformes, Phasianidae.
UGCUACUGGAAGGGGUGGAGCCUUGCUUUACCUCUCCUAGACCCCGUUUAAGAGCUGACUACCACUAGAGAAGGGUCUUUUGGAGCUUGCUCCUCUUGGAGUCUUCUCAGUGAGCCCAGGACAAGGAAUUGAGUAGAGAAGAAGAAGUGCAUUGCUAUGUAGUACCUUGCAGGCCAGCAGCAAGACAAUGCUAUGACUCCUUUGGACUCAAGGCAGGUUGCUGAACCACUCCCUUGCCCACAGGCUGUCCAGCACAAGCAUAAAAUAGACACCAACUUUGAGAAGCACUUCAGAGCAGGUCCUCAGCACCUGUGUAAUUCAGCCCUCAGAACUCAUAAAAGGUAUUUCUGUGCUUUAAUCAAAGCACUAAUUGCUUCCAUAUUAAAACCUCCUACAUGCUGAGGUCUUACAUCUGUCCGGAGCACAUGUUUUUUUGUUGUUGUUCCUAGCUGUGGCUGUUGCUAGUUCUCUGCUCUUAGGGCCUGAGGAGUCAGUAGAUACAGAGCAGGCUUUGCAAAAGCACUUAAAACACCCACGCAGCUCUAGCCCUUGUACUGGCUCAGCUGCCCCACUUGCACGUCUUGCUGAACACAAAAGGACACAGCAUGGGAGGCACGUUCUUCCCCGCACAUCCUCAUGUUUCAGGCAGGAAGCCCUUUCUCCUGGAUACAAUUCCAGCAUUGGCUACUGAUCUCUGUGAAAAAGGCUGUGUUUCCAAAAAUCAGGGGACCUGCUACACAGAACACGUCUUGCCUGCAAUUUUUCAUGACUGCCUCCUGGGCUGGAGACCAAUGCUGUCACGGAGGAAGGCCUUCCAGUUAUUCUUCCUGCAUUUGGUAUUGUUUGUAUUUUAUAUUGUCU